ACAGUACAAACUGAUCAGGCGGAACGCACCGGAUGGUGCGGUUGCGGCCGGGCCCCGAGGGCAGCAGAUGGGUUGAAAUGAAGGCAUCUGCGGGACAGU
RNAcentral lists this non-coding RNA (99 nucleotides) under uncultured Coprococcus sp. Its description in RNAcentral is "NiCo riboswitch". It matches the Rfam family "NiCo (Nickel/Cobalt) riboswitch aptamer". Lineage: Bacteria; Bacillati; Bacillota; Clostridia; Lachnospirales; Lachnospiraceae. The record is from RNAcentral.